RNAcentral lists this ribosomal RNA (1608 nucleotides) under metagenome. RNAcentral's name for it is "bacterial LSU rRNA". It matches the Rfam family "Bacterial large subunit ribosomal RNA", at positions 1221 to 2814 of the family's 2925-position model. The record is from RNAcentral.
UAUAUGGGUAGGGGAGCGUUCUCAUCGGAUUGAAGCAGUACCGUAAGGAGUUGUGGACUGGUGAGAAGUGAGAAUGUCGGUAUGAGUAGCGAAAAGAAUGGUGAGAAUCCAUUCCACCGAAAGCCUAAGGGUUCCUGAGCAACGAUCGUCGUCUCAGGGUAAGUCGGGACCUAAGCCGAGGCGGAAAAGCGUAGGCGAUGGACAACAGGUUGAAAUUCCUGUACCGGUGUGAAUCGUUUGAUCGAAGGAGUGACACAGUAAGGUAGGUCAGCACGCGAUUGGAAGUGCGUGUUUAAGCAUGUAGGUUGAGUUAUAGGCAAAUCCGUAACUCUAAAAGCUGAGAUGUGAUGACGAGCUGUUUACAGCGAAGUGAUUGAUCCUACACUGUCGAGAAAAGCUUCUAGGUAGAGACACAUCGCCCGUACCAAAACCGACACAGGUAGGCGGGGAGAGAAUCCUAAGGUGCGCGGGAAAACCCUCGUUAAGGAACUCGGCAAAAUGCCUCCGUAACUUCGGGAAAAGGAGGACUCAUGUAGUGUGAAGGGCAGUAACGCGUGGAGCAUGAAUGAGUGGCACAAGAGAGGCGCAAGCGACUGUUUACCACAAACACAGGUGCCUGCUAAAGCGAAAGCUGAUGUAUAGGUGCUGACACCUGCCCGGUGCUGGAAGGUUAAGAGGAGGGGUUAGACUUCGGUCGAAGCUCUGAAUUGAAGCCCCAGUAAACGGCGGCCGUAACUAUAACGGUCCUAAGGUAGCGAAAUUCCUUGUCGGGUAAGUUCCGACCCGCACGAAAGGUGUAACGACUUGCGCACUGUCUCAACGAGGGACCCGGUGAAAUUGAAGUACCUGUGAAGAUGCAGGUUACCCGCGACUGGACAGAAAGACCCCAUGGAGCUUUACUGCAACCUAAGAUUGAACUUAGUUAAUGAAUGUACAGGAUAGGUGGGAGACUUAGAAUCUAGGGCGCCAGUCUUAGAGGAGUCGUUGUUGGGAUACCACCCUUUGAUUAAUUGAUUUCUAACAGGCCGAUUAACAACCGGCUGGACAGUCUUAGGCGGGCAGUUUGACUGGGGCGGUCGCCUCCUAAAGAGUAACGGAGGCGCCCAAAGGUUCCCUCAGAGCGGACGGAAAUCGCUCGAAGAGUGUAAAGGCAGAAGGGAGCUUGACUGCGAGACGGACAGGUCGAGCAGGGACGAAAGUCGGGCUUAGUGAUCCGGUGGUGCCGAGUGGAAGGGCCAUCGCUCAACGGAUAAAAGCUACCCUGGGGAUAACAGGCUAAUCUCUCCCAAGAGUCCAUAUCGACGGGGAGGUUUGGCACCUCGAUGUCGGCUCAUCACAUCCUGGGGCUGAAGUAGGUCCCAAGGGUUCGGCUGUUCGCCGAUUAAAGUGGUACGUGAGCUGGGUUCAGAACGUCGUGAGACAGUUCGGUCCCUAUCCAUCGCGGGCGCAAGAAACUUGAAGGGGGCUGCUCCUAGUACGAGAGGACCGGAGUGGACGAACCGCUGGUGUACCAAUUAUCCUGCCAAGGGUACAGUUGGGUAGCUACGUUCGGGACGGAUAAACGCUGAAAGCAUCUAAGCGUGAAACCAGCCUUGAGAUGAGGUUUCU